Molecule: unclassified non-coding RNA, 321 nt
Filed under: Hevea brasiliensis (rubber tree)
Lineage: Eukaryota; Viridiplantae; Streptophyta; Magnoliopsida; Malpighiales; Euphorbiaceae
Source: RNAcentral
GGGACAUUAAUACCUUCUAAGACAUUGACUAAUAUAUAUAAUAACAAGUGUUAAAAGUGCUCACCCACCAAUUAAUUUGCCCAUCUGGUACCUCUAAUCAGGAAUGAGAAUACACCAUUAACUUGGCCAAUAUGGUGCUUUUGAUCAAUAAUUUCCCAACAGUUCCAAGUUUAGGUAGCGGACAUGUGAGUAUGUGCUUAGCUUAUUCCGGCUACGUCACUGAUUCAGUGGAUGCUUUUCAUGUAUGCGGAGGAUCCAAUUUCCGUCAACCAAAUCAAGAUUGUACAAAUGCAUGUACUUAAUGCAGAAUCCUUUUUUUUU